CAGAGCGUUAACUCGCUGGGGCUAUACUAGACUUGGUUGAAGGUUUUCUUUCACAUUUUCGCACCUUUUUUGACCGCUCGCAUGCAUCGCUAUUUUCAACCCCUUGAGAGACGGAUUUGAACCAAGUCUAGGGCUAUACAAAUACGCAUAUUACUGUGCAUCAGAGGAGGUUGGACAGCAGGCCGCAAAGCAUCAUGGGUAUUGAGCGCCUAAUUCCGCGCGUGACUUCAUUCACUGUUGACUGUCGAGGAAUGAACAUCUCUCUGACUAAACCAAUAUGGAAGCUUUCGAACGACAAGAGUGUCAGGCUGCGAUACUUUGUGAAAAGAAACAGCAUGUUAUUGCUGUAUUGUUGCGAUCAUCAUUAUGACUUGUGUUUUACUAUACCAAGUUUACCUUUUUUAAAUAUUUGCAUGGGACAUGUUGUCAUUUUAGCUUGAUAAAUAAUGCGUUUGAGCGAAGGAAUUUUGUUUAUAUUCCCAGUAGCGAGGCUCUUCUUCCUAACUUGGAUGACGUUAAAUCUCCGUGUAUCAUCAACGUGAUGAAAACAAGCGCAAUAUUUAAGGUUGGUAUACUACAAUGCAUUACAGUUACCUUGUUAUUUAGUCAAAUUAUUAUCCGCUUUGUUGUUUUUAACCUUGUACUGUAAUUUUGACCCUAUUGUGUGUGUCUGUGUACUGUGUCACUGUAAUACAUAUGUACAUGCUUUGAGUUAAACAAAUUGUUUAAUAAAUUUUUGCUGAAGUAUGAUGCCUGUUUGUAUCUAGUUGUGGAUAGAUUUUUACAUAUAUGUGCAUACAAUAGUGAUAUUUUUCAAUUUUCAUCUGUAAAAUAUUGCCAUAUUUGUGUGUUGUUCUAUAAAUAUUACUGUAAAUAGUGACACACUUUUGCAUUAGAUUUCUAAUUUUAGAGAUUACAGCUUAUGUACAAAAUAAUAAAAUAAAAAUUUUCUUGUUAUGAUUUUGUAGAAACUAAGGAUCUACUUGAGUGGUUGGCUGGUCUUGAACCUGGUCAGCAUGGAUAUGGUAAUGAAGGUGAUAGGGCAGAAAGUGGUGACCAGUUAAGUGAUGAGGAUGAAAGUGACGAGGACGAAAUCACCCAUGCUGUACCAUUCAAGUGCAUCGGUGCUGCUCAUGAGAAAAAUUACCAACAUCAACAGCAUACCUUGCUCUUCAUGGACAAGAUAAACCAGUGAAUGUAAGAAUACGGCCAGAGCCAUUGAAUCCAAUGGACCCAAGUGCAAUUGCAAUUGAUGUAGACUAUGGAACUGGAUGGACACACAUUGGUUAUCUUGCUUCUCAACUAUGCGAGUAUUUGCACCGACUAAUUGCCACAGGAGAUAUCUUAGAGGUCUAUGUUCAGCAUAUCAAGUAUAGGGUUGACUUUUUUAAAAUAGGAUUUUAUCAAAAAAUUUUCAUAAAGCGACGUGGUGAGUGGGAGACUCAAGUGGUAAGGGAUAGCAUGAGUGUACGUUGACAGAUGUUUGUGAUAUAAUUGUAACUGACUAGGUUUAGCAAGUUAUAGAAAUGAUCUUAUUUCAAUUAGGAAACUUUUUAGAUUUUCAUAAACAAAAACUAGGUUAAUCAUAAGUGGGUGUGCACAAUUAAAAUAAAAAAAGUCUGUCAUGCACACUCAUGCAAUUAAGACAAGUACAUAAUUGUAACAUGUGCUGUACUAAAUGAAGAAAUAAAUAGUUUGUACAUUCACUUGACCAACUUUGUGAGUAAUUUUUAUUUUUCAUUAAAAUUAAUGAAACAAUAAAACAAAAAUAUGUCUAUUUAUAUACAUAUUGAUCAAAGGUCCCACAAUA
Molecule: non-coding RNA, 1810 nt
Organism: Paramuricea clavata
Lineage: Eukaryota; Metazoa; Cnidaria; Anthozoa; Malacalcyonacea; Plexauridae
Source: the annotation of a GenBank genome assembly